RNAcentral lists this ribosomal RNA (422 nucleotides) under Laparocerus curvipes espanoli. RNAcentral describes it as "partial 16S ribosomal RNA". Lineage: Eukaryota; Metazoa; Arthropoda; Insecta; Coleoptera; Curculionidae. The record is from RNAcentral.
GGUAUUUUGACCGUGCAAAGGUAGCAUAAUCAUUAGUUUUUUAAUUGAAAGCUGGAAUGAAAGGUUGGAUGAAAAAUAAGCUGUCUCUAUUUAAUUUUAUUAGAAUUUUAUUUUUAAGUUAAAAAGCUUAAAUUUUAAUAGAAGACGAGAAGACCCUAUAGAGUUUUAUUUAUUUUUUAUAUAAGAUUAAUAGUAUAAAUUAUUUUUAUUUAAAAUAUAAAUUUAGUUGGGGUGAUUGAAAAAUUUGAUAAACUUUUUUUGCAUAUAAACAUUAAUUUAUGAUUAAUUGAUCCUUAAUUUAAGAUUAAAAGAUAAAAUUACCUUAGGGAUAACAGCGUAAUUUUUUUUGAGAGUUCAAAUCGAAAAAAAAGAUUGCGACCUCGAUGUUGGAUUAAAAUAAAAUUUUGGUGUAGAAGCUGAAA